GCGCCGGUGGUGUAAGGCGAACAUCGCUGCCCGGAAAGCAGAAGAUACGGGUUCGAGUCCCGCCUGGCGCA
This is a non-coding RNA of Heligmosomoides polygyrus, 71 nucleotides long. The record is from Rfam. NCBI's taxonomy places the organism in Eukaryota, Metazoa, Nematoda, Chromadorea, Rhabditida, Heligmosomidae.